UACAGAGGGUGCAAGCGUUAAUCGGAAUUACUGGGCGUAAAGCGCGCGUAGGUGGUUUGUUAAGUUGAAUGUGAAAUCCCCGGGCUCAACCUGGGAACUGCAUGCAAAACUGGCAAGCUAGAGUAUGGUAGAGGGUGGUGGAAUUUCCUGGUGUAGCGGUGAAAUGCGUAGAUAUAGGAAGGAACACCAGUGGCGAAGGCGACCACCUGGACUGAUACUGACACUGGAGGUGCGAAAAGCGUGGGGGAGCAAAACAGGG
RNAcentral lists this ribosomal RNA (259 nucleotides) under uncultured bacterium. RNAcentral's name for it is "partial 16S ribosomal RNA". It matches the Rfam family "Bacterial small subunit ribosomal RNA", at positions 524 to 777 of the family's 1533-position model. The record is from RNAcentral.